AAUUUUGGUCAAUGGGGGCAACCCUGAUCCAGCCAUCCCGCGUGUGCGAUGAAGGCCNNNGGGUUNUCAAGCACUUUUGGCAGNGACNAAAAGGCUCUGGCCAAUACCUGGAGCCGCUUACGGUACCUGCAGAACAAGCCCCGGCUAACUACGUGCCAGCAGCCGCGGUAAUACGUAGGGUGCAAGCGUUAAUCGGAAUUACUGGGCGUAAAGCGUGCGCAGGCGGUUCGGCAAGAAGGAUGUGAAAUCCCAGGGCUUAACCUUGGAACUGCAUUCUUAACUGCCGGGCUGGAGGAUGUCAGAGGGGGGGAGAAUUCCGCGUGUAGCAGGGAAAUGCGUAGAGAUGCGGAGGAAUACCGAUGGCGAAGGCAGCCCCCUGGGAUAAUACUGACGCUCAUGCACGAAAGCGUGGGGAGCAAAC
RNAcentral lists this ribosomal RNA (421 nucleotides) under uncultured bacterium. Its description in RNAcentral is "partial 16S ribosomal RNA". It matches the Rfam family "Bacterial small subunit ribosomal RNA", at positions 360 to 773 of the family's 1533-position model. The record is from RNAcentral.